CGAGUCUGAUGGAGCACGCCGCGUGAGUGAAGAAGGGUUUCGGCUCGUAAAACUCUGUUGUUAAAGAAGAACAUAUCUGAGAGUAACUGUUCAGGUAUUGACGGUAUUUAACCAGAAAGCCACGGCUAACUACGUGCCAGCAGCCGCGGUAAUACGUAGGUGGCAAGCGUUGUCCGGAUUUAUUGGGCGUAAAGCGAGCGCAGGCGGUUUUUUAAGUCUGAUGUGAAAGCCUUCGGCUCAACCGAAGAAGUGCAUCGGAAACUGGGAAACUUGAGUGCAGAAGAGGACAGUGGAACUCCAUGUGUAGCGGUGAAAUGCGUAGAUAUAUGGAAGAACACCAGUGGCGAAGGCGGCUGUCUGGUCUGUAACUGACGCUGAGGCUCGAAAGUAUGGGUAGCAAACAGGAUUAGAUACCCUGGUAGUCCAUACCGUAAACGAUGAAUGCUAAGUGUUGGAGGGUUUCCGCCCUUCAGUGCUGCAGCUAACGCAUUAAGCAUUCCGCCUGGGGAGUACGGCCGCAAGGCUGAAACUCAAAGGAAUUGACGGGGGCCCGCACAAGCGGUGGAGCAUGUGGUUUAAUUCGAAGCUACGCGAAGAACCUUACCAGGUCUUGACAUACUAUGCAAAUCUAAGAGAUUAGACGUUCCCUUCGGGGACAUGGAUACAGGUGGUGCAUGGUUGUCGUCAGCUCGUGUCGUGAGAUGUUGGGUUAAGUCCCGCAACGAGCGCAACCCUUAUUAUCAGUUGCCAGCAUUAAGUUGGGCACUCUGGUGAGACUGCCGGUGACAAACCGGAGGAAGGUGGGGAUGACGUCAAAUCAUCAUGCCCCUUAUGACCUGGGCUACACACGUGCUACAAUGGAUGGUACAACGAGUUGCGAACUCGCGAGAGU
Molecule: ribosomal RNA, 892 nt
Filed under: Lactiplantibacillus plantarum
Lineage: Bacteria; Bacillati; Bacillota; Bacilli; Lactobacillales; Lactobacillaceae
Description: bacterial SSU rRNA
Rfam family: Bacterial small subunit ribosomal RNA
Source: RNAcentral